This 1046-nucleotide long non-coding RNA is filed under the name Olea europaea subsp. europaea. Lineage: Eukaryota; Viridiplantae; Streptophyta; Magnoliopsida; Lamiales; Oleaceae. The record is from RNAcentral.
ACUAAACUAGCUAGCACUACCAGCUACAAGAUUAUCAGAAGGAUGAAAAAGAAAAACUCACUGGCGUGCCCUAUGUUUGCCAAUCUCUCAACCCCGUGUUAUUUAAAUACCAUAAAUCCACCCAAGUCUAACCAAUUCAUGAACCCAUAAUUAUAAUUACUCCUAACAAGCUUAGAAACUAGGUUUCAUAUCAGAUUUGCGAUCCCUCUAACGGUCAGUCUCCAUGGAAAAUAAUGAAGGGUGAAUGUCGAUACAAUCAAACCUAACCCCUACACUCCCUUCUGCGCUCUCUAAUUAAAAAUGAAAUCCAAGCUUCAUUACAUUACAACUUAAGAUCAAUGAACCCAAAAUGAUCAGUUUCCUACAACCAUCUAGAAUUGAAAAUUUUCACCUCGAAUGAAGCUAUUAUUCUGAAAUAAGCAAUAACAACAUUACAAGUGGAAAAUACGACAAACUCAGAUACCUAAAACAGAAAAACUUCCACACUUAUUCAACAAUAGUUGAGAACAAGCCAAUUUAACAGGUAGAGAAACACAAUUAAAAAGAAAAAAGAAAAAAGACAACAAUUUAUAAAAAGCUCCUUCAAAGGCCUACGUGGAGAAUCUUCCACUUCACUAUAAGAGGAGGAAGAGAAGCCACGUAAGGAAAUGAGGCCAUGGCCUGGUCGCCGUUCGGUUGGAGUUAUUGGAGGCGACGAGCAGUCGCCAGCGCAGGACAAACCGGAGGGGAAAAACUAAUGGAAACCCCUUUUUCCUUUUACAUCAUUAAAAAAUAAAAAUAAAAAAAAAGGCCAAAAUGAGGCCCUUCCGAUUUUGGGCCUGAGGCGCUGGCCUGGCAAUAGAAUCGGGCCUGCAAAUAUCCCCAAGUCAUUUUGGAGUGAAAUUGUGAUGACAAGUUGAUUAAUUGUUUUUUUGAUUAAUUUGAUAUAAUCCAGUGCUUAAAUGGUAACACUCCUUGUGAGCAAUGGUCUGGUCGGGAAGGUGUGAUGAAUACUCUACCUUAAACACCUUCAGUUGUGCGAGCCUAUGUCGAGGAAUUUUGUUUUU